UAGGGAAUCUUCGGCAAUGGGACAAAAGUCUGACCGAGCAACGCCGCGUGAGUGGAGAAGGUUUUCGGAUCGUAAAACUCUGUUGGUAGAGAAGAACGUUGGUGAGAGUGGAAAGCUCAUCAAGUGACGGUAACUACCCAGAAAGGGACGGCUAACUACGUGCCAC
Molecule: ribosomal RNA, 166 nt
Filed under: uncultured bacterium
Lineage: Bacteria
Description: partial 16S rRNA
Rfam family: Bacterial small subunit ribosomal RNA
Source: RNAcentral